Molecule: ribosomal RNA, 671 nt
Filed under: uncultured bacterium
Lineage: Bacteria
Description: bacterial SSU rRNA
Rfam family: Bacterial small subunit ribosomal RNA
Source: RNAcentral
GUUGGGCACUAGGUGUGGGGGCGCCUGGUUUUACUGGGUGGUUUCGCGCCGCAGCUAACGCAUUAAGUGCCCCGCCUGGGGAGUACGGCCGCAAGGCUAAAACUCAAAGGAAUUGACGGGGGCCCGCACAAGCGGCGGAGCAUGCGGAUUAAUUCGAUGCAACGCGAAGAACCUUACCAGGGCUUGACAUGGGGGCGGCGGCGUCGGAGACGGCGUCUCCUUAUUUUGGGCGCCCCUGCAGGUGGUGCAUGGUUGUCGUCAGCUCGUGUCGUGAGAUGUUGGGUUAAGUCCCGCAACGAGCGCUACCCCUGUCCCGUGUUGCCAGCGCGUUGUGGCGGGGACUCUCGGGAGACUGCCGGGGUCAACUCGGAGGAGGGUGGGGACGACGUCAAAUCAUCAUGCCCCUGACGUCCUGGGCUUCACGCAUGCUACAAUGGCCGGUACAAAGGGUUGCGAUGCCGUGAGGCGGGGCGAAUCCCUUAAAGCCGGUCUCAGUUCGGAUCGGUGUCUGCAACUCGACACCGUGAAGUCGGAGUCGCUAGUAAUCGCAGAUCAGCAUUGCUGCGGUGAAUACGUUCUCGGGCCUUGUACACACCGCCCGUCACGUCAUGAAAGUCGGUGACGCCCGAAGCCCGUGGCCCUAUGGGAGCGGUCGAAGCGUCCCGGGGGUC